AUUCUUACAGUACCGUCAGCUCUCCACACGUGGAAAGGUUUCUUCCUGUAUAAAAGCAGUUUACAACCCAUAGGGCAGUCUUCCUGCACGCGGCAUGGCUGGAUCAGAGUUGCCUCCAUUGUCCAAUAUUCCU
This 133-nucleotide ribosomal RNA is filed under the name uncultured bacterium. RNAcentral's name for it is "partial 16S ribosomal RNA". The record is from RNAcentral.